CUUCCUCUAUCAUCUACAGGUCUCUGUCGCGUCUUCCUCCUUCGUUCUUUUGUUCUCCAUCGCGUCGUUCUCUGUGGUUGUUCUUCGUCGCGCCAUCGCCCAUCAUCGUCAUGCUAGAGUCGUUUUAGUGGCUGCUCUCCAGGACCUAUACAGAACCUUGAACUACCCACCAGAGCUUCAAGGAUGGAAUGGUAGUGAUCCUUGUGUAUAACUGAUGGACUGGGACACCAGGCUCAAAAUUGCGAUUGGAUCAGCCAAAGGACUUGCUUAUUUACAUGAGGAUUGUCACCCUCGCAUCAUUCACCGAGACAUAAAGGGUGCAAACAUUCUAAUUGAAAACAACUUUGAUGCCAAAGUGGCAGAUUUUGGAUUGGCAAAGUUUAAUCAAGACACUAACACAUGUUUCUACUUGUGUGAUGGGAACAUUUGGGUAUUUGGCUCCUGAGUAUGCAUCAAGUGGCAAAUUAACUGUGAAAUCUGAUGUUUUCUCAUUUGGUAUCAUGCUAUUGGAGCUCAUUACAGGACGACGGCCGGUAGACAACACUGGUGAUUAUGAAGAGGAUAGUUUGGUUGAUUGGGUAAAUUACUUCAAAGUUCUGAGCUCAUUUGCCAUUCUUGUGUGGAGUCCUUUAGCAUGCUCUGGGUCAUCAGUUAUACACCUGUAAUGAAACAAACAACUCUAUAGUGUAGAGUAGACAAAUUAAAUUUUAUCUAUAUUGGGUUUCAUCCAACUAAAUUUAAUGUGAAAUCUCGGGUCAUCAACCAAAUUUUGUUUGAAGGAGCAGCCAAAUAAGUGGGGCUUUAUGAGUUUCCUAGUUUACUUUGUAACUUCGUCCUCAUGCCAAAUUAUAUUGUUUCUAAUUCAUCAAACUUGCAUUUCCUUUGGGGAAGAACUGUGACUUGUUCAGAAAUAUUUUGACUUUAUCUUUGCUGGUGAAGCACGUUGUGUGUAACCUCUUGUUCUCAUUUUCUUAAAAACUUCCGUUCAGAAUCACAUUGACUAAUAUUUUCUAGUUAGGUGUGCUCUUGUGUUUGUUUUCAUUUUCAUUGGACUUUUGUUCUGAAGCACAUUGUCUCUAUCUUUACUAGUAAAGAACAUUUCAUGUUUGCAACCUCUUUCUGAUUUUCAUUAGACUUGUGCUACCUUUGGGUAAGAACUCUCCACUUGUUCAGAAGCAUUACUAGUAAGGCAUGUCUUCGUUAUCCCAUUGCUCAUGUUUUCAUUAGACUUCUGUUUCCAUAUAGAGCAGAUCUCUUGCUUGUUCACACUAUAGAUACUUACAUUUAGAACUAGCACCCCAACUCUUGCUUGAGCAUUUCAUUUUCCUCACAGGAUACUGAGUGCUCAUGUUCCAUUUCCUAUAGAAUGGUCUAAAGUCCUAUACUAAAACAACUCUUGUUUUCAUGUUUCAUAACUUGAGAAUAACAUGCUUUCAGUCAUCCAAUCUUAGUCUAUUUUAUUGUAAAUUUGCCAACAUUUGGGUUUUCAAAUAUGAAAGUUUAAAUAUUUGUGGUCUGAUUUUAUUUUAAGAAUUUCUAUUUGAAAUUAUUUGAGCUGCAAUUGUGCACUUUGAUCCUAAAUCAGCAAGCUGAAGCUCUUAAGCAACUGGGUCAGAACUUCAAUGGUAGUUCUAUCAGUUCUUCCCACAGUCCUGAUGAAGGAAGGUCCAAAAUGGAGAAAGGCAAGGGACAGAUGAAAGUCAUGAAACAGACAUAGCACAGAAUGUUGUCUCUCACAGGGGACAGAGAUUGUUAAAAAGUGUGGUUGCUGUUGCAGGGUUCUAAUUUGGAUUCUGCAAUGAUGUAAAAGAUGAUAGCAUGGUAAACUUCUACUACACCAAGCAAAAUUCAAGGAUUGAACAUCACUAGGUAUCUCGGAGGCUUGCUUCACAAUCUACAAAACUUGAAGCAUAUGGAUGUGAUUUCUAACAACAUAGUUGGUGAGAUACCAUAUAGUUUGCCACCCAAUGCCACACAUAUAAACAUGGCUUGCAAUUAUUUGAGCCAAAAUAUCCCUCAUUCUUUACCAACCAUGAAGAAACUGAGACUUCUGCUUGGUCCCUUGGAAAAUCAACUCAAACAGAGCAAAGUAGCAACACAAGGAUAUACAACUCAUAGCCCUACAAUAAUGACAAGGCCUAAACAGUGUGCAUUAUGGCAAGUUGUUGCAGAUGCUCUACUCUCCCUCGCGUCUUUCUGGAUGCAGCUAGAUCCGAUUCUAAUUCCAACAAAACUUUGUUAAUUCAUGCUUUUAACUGAUGUAGCUUGCUUUAAUUUCUUGAGAGAGUAUGUUCUCAACAACAAUUAGUAUUGUUUUAGACAAAUUAGUAAAGUGACAUGGAUUUUAGUAUUGUUUUGUUAUUCAAGGCUGGAAUAUUUGAGUAAUUCUGUUAGAAUAUGUGAAUGUUGUUCU
Molecule: long non-coding RNA, 2413 nt
Organism: Lotus japonicus
Lineage: Eukaryota; Viridiplantae; Streptophyta; Magnoliopsida; Fabales; Fabaceae
Exons: 11
Source: RefSeq, a predicted model, not a curated record